UACCAGCACCCCGAGUGGUCGGGACGUUUAUUGGGCCUAAAGCAUCCGUAGCCGGUUCUACAAGUCUUCCGUUAAAUCCAGCUGCUUAACAGAUGGGCUGCGGAAGAUACUAUGGAGCUAGGAGGCGGGAGAGGCAAGCGGUACUCGAUGGGUAGGGGUAAAAUCCGUUGAUCCAUUGAAGACCACCAGUGGCGAAGGCGGCUUGCCGAACGCGCUCGACGGUGAGGGAUGAAAGCUGGGGGAGCAAACCGG
This 252-nucleotide ribosomal RNA is filed under the name uncultured bacterium. RNAcentral's name for it is "partial 16S ribosomal RNA". It matches the Rfam family "Archaeal small subunit ribosomal RNA", at positions 474 to 727 of the family's 1478-position model. The record is from RNAcentral.